CGCGAUUCGCCCUUCGGGGUGCCCAGGCGCGAAAACUUUGCAAUACACGAAAGUGUGACAGGGCUAUCCCGAGUGCCAUCCGCUGAGGAAGGCUUUUACCCAGUCUAGAACGCUGGGGGAAUAAGGAGAGGGCAAGUCUGGUGUCAGCCGCCGCGGUAAUACCAGCUCUCCGAGUGGUGUGGAUGUUUAUUGGGCCUAAAGCAUCCGUAGCUGGCUAAGUUAGUCCCUUGUUAAAUCCACCGAAUUAAUCGUUGGAUUGCGGGGGAUACUGCUUGGCUAGGGGACGAGAGAGGCAGACGGUAUUUCCGGGGUAGGGGUGAAAUCCUAUAAUCCCGGGAAGACCACCAGUGGCGAAGGCUGUCUGCUAGAACGCGCCCGACGGUGCGGGAUGAAAGCUGGGGGAGCGAACCGGAUUAGAUACCCGGGUAGUCCCAGCUGUAAACGAUGCAGGCUAGGUGUUUGGACGGCCACGUGCCGUUCUAGUGCCGCAGGGAAGCUGUUAAGCCUGCCGCCUGGGGAGUACGAUCGCAAGAUUGAAACUUAAAGGAAUUGGCGGGGGAGCAC
This 564-nucleotide ribosomal RNA is filed under the name uncultured archaeon. Its description in RNAcentral is "bacterial SSU rRNA". It matches the Rfam family "Archaeal small subunit ribosomal RNA", at positions 312 to 879 of the family's 1478-position model. The record is from RNAcentral.